RNAcentral lists this ribosomal RNA (253 nucleotides) under uncultured bacterium. Its description in RNAcentral is "partial 16S ribosomal RNA". It matches the Rfam family "Bacterial small subunit ribosomal RNA", at positions 524 to 776 of the family's 1533-position model. The record is from RNAcentral.
UACGUAGGGUGCGAGCGUUAAUCGGAAUUACUGGGCGUAAAGCGUGCGCAGGCGGUUUUGUAAGACAGAUGUGAAAUCCCCGGGCUUAACCUGGGAAUGGCGUUUGUGACUGCAAGACUUGAGUGCGGCAGAGGGGGGUGGAAUUCCACGUGUAGCAGUGAAAUGCGUAGAUAUGUGGAGGAACACCGAUGGCGAAGGCAGCCCCCUGGGUCGACACUGACGCUCAGGCACGAAAGCGUGGGGAGCAAACAGG